ACUUACCUACGGGGGGCAGCAGUGGGGAAUAUUGCACAAUGGGGGGAACCCUGAUGCAGCGACGCCGCGUGGGCGAGGAAGUAUUUCGGUAUGUAAAGCCCUAUCGGCAGGGAAGAAGAAAUGACGGUACCUGAAUAAGAAGCACCGGCUAAAUACGUGCCAGCAGCCGCGGUAAUACGUAUGGUGCAAGCGUUAUCCGGAUUUACUGGGCGUAAAGGGGGCGCAGACGGCAGCGCAAGCCAGGAGUGAAAGCCCGGGGCCCAACCCCGGGACUGCUCUUGGAACUGCGCGGCUGGAGUGCAGGG
This 305-nucleotide ribosomal RNA is filed under the name uncultured bacterium. RNAcentral's name for it is "bacterial SSU rRNA". It matches the Rfam family "Bacterial small subunit ribosomal RNA", at positions 333 to 653 of the family's 1533-position model. The record is from RNAcentral.